Molecule: ribosomal RNA, 926 nt
Filed under: uncultured organism
Description: bacterial SSU rRNA
Rfam family: Bacterial small subunit ribosomal RNA
Source: RNAcentral
UGGAUCCAGACUUUGAUUCUGGCUCAGGAUGAACGCUAGCUACAGGCUUAACACAUGCAAGUCGAGGGGAAACGACAUCGAAAGCUUGCUUUUGAUGGGCGUCGACCGGCGCACGGGUGAGUAACGCGUAUCCAACCUGCCCACCACUUGGGGAUAACCUUGCGAAAGUAAGACUAAUACCCAAUGAUAUCUCUAGAAGACAUCUGAAGGAGAUUAAAGAUUUAUCGGUGAUGGAUGGGGAUGCGUCUGAUUAGCUUGUUGGCGGGGUAACGGCCCACCAAGGCAACGAUCAGUAGGGGUUCUGAGAGGAAGGUCCCCCACAUUGGAACUGAGACACGGUCCAAACUCCUACGGGAGGCAGCAGUGAGGAAUAUUGGUCAAUGGACGAGAGUCUGAACCAGCCAAGUAGCGUGCAGGAUGACGGCCCUAUGGGUUGUAAACUGCUUUUAUAAGGGAAUAAAGUGAGUCUCGUGAGACUUUUUGCAUGUACCUUAUGAAUAAGGACCGGCUAAUUCCGUGCCAGCAGCCGCGGUAAUACGGAAGGUCCGGGCGUUAUCCGGAUUUAUUGGGUUUAAAGGGAGCGUAGGCCGGAGAUUAAGCGUGUUGUGAAAUGUAGACGCUCAACGUCUGCACUGCAGCGCGAACUGGUUUCCUUGAGUACGCACAAAGUGGGCGGAAUUCGUGGUGUAGCGGUGAAAUGCUUAGAUAUCACGAAGAACUCCGAUUGCGAAGGCAGCUCACUGGAGCGCAACUGACGCUGAAGCUCGAAAGUGCGGGUAUCGAACAGGAUUAGAUACCCUGGUAGUCCGCACGGUAAACGAUGGAUGCCCGCUGUUGGUCUGAAUAGGUCAGCGGCCAAGCGAAAGCAUUAAGCAUCCCACCUGGGGAGUACGCCGGCAACGGUGCAACUCAAAGGAAUUGACGGA